AGACAACGUGCAGGGAAGGGAACAAGCAGGAGGGCAAAAAGAAAGAACCACGGCGACAGCACCUUAGGCUGAACACCAAAAUGCAGAAUCAAGUCCGGGAUACCUGAACAGGAAAUCGCAGGUGAUGUGAACCACGGCGAGGAUUGCUGUACAGUUUGGACACGCUGAUGUUGAAGCAAGUUCGCGAUCUCAGUAUAAGACACUGAAGGUAACAUGAACGGAAAAGUAUAACAUCCUACAUAAGGUAAUGGUACUGUACUAUAUGUUGGCCAAUAUGUUGGUCUGCUGGGACAGAAAACUUCC
Molecule: long non-coding RNA, 303 nt
Organism: Hyla sarda
Lineage: Eukaryota; Metazoa; Chordata; Amphibia; Anura; Hylidae
Exons: 4
Source: RefSeq, a predicted model, not a curated record